This 2025-nucleotide long non-coding RNA is filed under the name Triticum aestivum (bread wheat). Its description in RNAcentral is "long non-coding RNA (TAES_LNC015229)". The record is from RNAcentral. Lineage: Eukaryota; Viridiplantae; Streptophyta; Magnoliopsida; Poales; Poaceae.
AGCAUGAUCACACAUUUAAUCGAGAUGCAUAAAUUCCUAUACAAAAUUCUCAUGUAUGUUUCGAACUAACCUGCACUUUAAGGCCAUAUUUACCAACAUGUAGGAGAUCAGCUCUAGAGAAAUGGCACUUAAAAUACAUCGGAAAUAGGAUGUUGAAAUGAACAACAAUACCUGGCAAACUCUAUACAUAACAUGCCUGCCGUAUUUGGCUCCUGAACUUUAGCUCCUCCUCCGUCCAUUUUAGAGUCCCCAUUCCUAAAAACAAAACAUUUCAUACAUGAAAAUAUUAUAUGUCUCCAAGGGAUAGUGGUAACCACAAUGUUUAAUUCAGGAGCUAUUAUCAAUAUAAAAUAUAAGAUGAAAAGUGAGAAAUUUAUUGUAUGUGCUAAAAGUGCUUCGUAAGUAUAAUUAAUAAAUGGUGCAGAUCUCUAACAUCAUAAUUGGGAACCUAGAAUACUCGCCGAUGACUGUUUGUAUGGCAUUAAGGGACGAAUGAGGUCAGGGGCUAAGGCGGGUGGUCGAGGAUUGAACAUGAUCUUGCCAGUCAUCUGAUUCUAUGACUCUCGGGGCUAAGCAUCCCCAUGCUUUCUGCUUAACCAUGUCCUUGUCUGCGCCAUGCCGUGUACGCAACUCAGCUCGAGGAACACAACCCUUAAUUCCCUCUAUCAAUGGAAUAGUGUGCAACCUGUGUACGUAUUCACGGAAAAAAGUACUCUCUUCUUUUUUAUCACCAUCUAGAUGUUCUAACCAAAAUUGAACAAAACGUAGGAGCAAGCUAGCGCUCUUUGUACAGUAGUGCACGCAAAAUGCACAUCUUGACCACUAUAAAUACACAAAAUAUAAAUUGUAAGUAUUAGGAGUGUAAAAAAUACAUAUGCGUUUAGACUAAAAAUAACCUCUCAAGAAUUAUGCCAGCCUAUGUGUUAUGCUUAUAGAUGAAAUACUUACAUGGCCAGCCACAAGACAAUGCAAGAGAUUGUCCAUCACUUUCAUAAUAAAAUGCUCGGUUGUACCGAGUGCAGAUUUUUUUACCUCUAUGACAUAUUAAUGAUCUAUCAUCAAAAGAUUCAGGCAGGUCAAUGAGGUCAUGUAUACCAGGUUGCCGCCAAUAGACGAUCGACCAGGCUUCUUGGUUCAUCCUUUUCCUUCAAAAGCUCCACAUAGUCACCUGUCGGAAGAACACUUCACUAUACCAAGAAAUGAGUUCACGUGUUUAUAGUUAAACAUCCCUUCAUGAUCAUCUAUUCGCUUAUUAGAUUUAAGAAAAAUACUCAGAUGAGUAUUAGAUCAAUACCCUGCAACCGCAACUGAAUUGGCAUUGCCAUCAUCAUUAUCGCAGACCUGCAGUCCUCAUGCAAUCACACACACCACCGUCAUCACAAGGACAUUAAUGCCAUCGUAACUGUGUAUUUAAAAUAAAAACGAUAAUCAAAAUAGGGCCUUGGUGUUUCUUUUUCAUGCUCAGACAUGAACAUGGCCACAAAAAGGGGUUUGGCACGCCCUAUUAACCCUUUAGAAACUCCCCUACCCAUAAGUAAGACCAUCUAUGAUUAUGCAAUCUUGCAUAUAGCCUAGAUAAAUGGUGAAACCAAUUGAAGAUCCUCUGAAUGCAUAUAAAUUGUAGAAGAAAAGUUUUGGUAAAAAAUCACAAAAAACUACCUUUAGAAUGUUGCAAAUGUACUGGUGCCCAGUCACAGUAUAUAUGCAACUAUGCAUGAGUCUACGAUUCUACCACAAGGAUCAAAUAGACAACAAUUUGGAGCAUGGUGUUGUGUGACAUCUCAGAAAGUGAAUGAAUGAAUUUUUGAUUGUUGCAGAAAAUUGCAUAUAUAGAUUUUCAAUGUAGAAACGAACUUUAUGCCUAUGUUAUUUGUACAUACAGAAUGUCUUUCUUGGUUCCCAAAGAGGUUCGGUAACCAUCCUAAGUAAGCAAUCGAACAUACCUUGAAUCACUUUAGCAAAAUAUUGCAGACGGAAGUAAGUCCAGCCCAUGUCUUAUCAACUGCAAAAAGAUUCCUCAGGCAA